This 465-nucleotide ribosomal RNA is filed under the name uncultured Selenomonas sp. RNAcentral's name for it is "bacterial SSU rRNA". It matches the Rfam family "Bacterial small subunit ribosomal RNA", at positions 338 to 795 of the family's 1533-position model. The record is from RNAcentral. Lineage: Bacteria; Bacillati; Bacillota; Negativicutes; Selenomonadales; Selenomonadaceae.
CCUACGGGAGGCAGCAGUGGGGAAUCUUCCGCAAUGGGCGCAAGCCUGACGGAGCAACGCCGCGUGAGUGAAGAAGGUCUUCGGAUCGUAAAGCUCUGUUGAAGGGGACGAACGUGUAUAGUGCAAAUAGUGCUAUAUAAUGACGGUACCUUUUGAGGAAGCCACGGCUAACUACGUGCCAGCAGCCGCGGUAAUACGUAGGUGGCGAGCGUUGUCCGGAAUCAUUGGGCGUAAAGGGAGCGCAGGCGGCCGUGUAAGUCUUGCUUAAAAGUUCGGGGCUCAACCCCGUGAUGGGCAAGAAACUAUAUGGCUUGAGUGCAGGAGAGGAAAGCGGAAUUCCCAGUGUAGCGGUGAAAUGCGUAGAUAUUGGGAGGAACACCAGUGGCGAAGGCGGCUUUCUGGACUGCAACUGACGCUGAGGCUCGAAAGCCAGGGGAGCGAACGGGAUUAGAUACCCUUGUAGUC